This 464-nucleotide ribosomal RNA is filed under the name uncultured bacterium. RNAcentral describes it as "bacterial SSU rRNA". It matches the Rfam family "Bacterial small subunit ribosomal RNA", at positions 331 to 793 of the family's 1533-position model. The record is from RNAcentral.
CCAGACUCCUACGGGAGGCAGCAGUGAGGAAUAUUGGUCAAUGGGCGGGAGCCUGAACCAGCCAAGUCGCGUGAGGGACGACGGUCCUAUGGAUUGUAAACCUCUUUUGUCGGGGAACAAAGGCGCCCACGGGUGGGCGGAUGAGUGUACCCGAAGAAAAAGCAUCGGCUAACUCCGUGCCAGCAGCCGCGGUAAUACGGAGGAUGCGAGCGUUAUCCGGAUUUAUUGGGUUUAAAGGGUGCGUAGGCGGACUGUUAAGUCAGCGGUAAAAGCCCGGGGCUCACCCCCGGCGAGCCGUUGAAACUGGCUGUCUUGAGAUGUCGAGAGGUAUGCGGAAUGCGCAGUGUAGCGGUGAAAUGCUUAGAUAUCGCGCAGAACUCCGAUUGCGAAGGCAGCGUACCGGCGCCAGACUGACGCUGAGGCACGAAAGCGUGGGGAUCGAACAGGAUUAGAUACCCCGGUAC